This 254-nucleotide ribosomal RNA is filed under the name uncultured bacterium. Its description in RNAcentral is "partial 16S ribosomal RNA". It matches the Rfam family "Bacterial small subunit ribosomal RNA", at positions 524 to 776 of the family's 1533-position model. The record is from RNAcentral.
CACGUAGGGGGCAAGCGUUGUCCGGAUUUAUUGGGCGUAAAGAGCUCGUAGGCGGUUCGGUAAGUCGGGUGUGAAACCUCCAGGCUCAACCUGGAGACGCCACCUGAUACUGCUGUGACUAGAGUCCGGUAGGGGAGCGUGGAAUUCCUGGUGUAGCGGUGAAAUGCGUAGAUAUUGGGAAGAACACCAGCGGCGAAAGCGCUCUACUGGGCCGCAACUGACACUCAUGGACGAAAGCUAGGGGAGCGAAAGGG